UGGGGAAUAUUGCGCAAUGGGCGAAAGCCUGACGCAGCAACGCCGCGUGAGUGAUGAAGGCCUUCGGGUCGUAAAGCUCUGUCGAAUGGGACGAAUAGCCCGCGAAUUAAUACCUCGUGGGAAUGACGGUACCGUUAAAGGAAGCCACGGCUAACUCUGUGCCAGCAGCCGCGGUAAUACAGAGGUGGCAAGCGUUGUUCGGAAUUACUGGGCGUAAAGGGCGCGUAGGCGGCCAUCUAAGUCAGACGUGAAAUCCCCCGGCUCAACCUGGGAACUGCGUCUGAUACUGGGAGGCUAGAGUUUGGGAGAGGGAUGUAGAAUUCCAGGUGUAGCGGUGAAAUGCGUAGAGAUCUGGAGGAACACCGAUGGCGAAGGCAGCCCCCUGGACUAACACUGACGCUCAUGCACGAAAGCGUGGGGAGCAAACAGGAUUAGAUACCCCCGUAGUCCCUGAGCGGGCUGGCAAGGCGCAU
This 473-nucleotide ribosomal RNA is filed under the name uncultured bacterium. RNAcentral's name for it is "bacterial SSU rRNA". It matches the Rfam family "Bacterial small subunit ribosomal RNA", at positions 355 to 825 of the family's 1533-position model. The record is from RNAcentral.